CCUACGGGUGGCUGCAGUAGGGAAUAUUGCUUAAUGGGCGAAAGCCUGAAGCAGCAACGCCGCGUGUGCGAUGAAGGCCUUCGGGUUGUAAAGCACUUUUUGUCGGGAAGAGGAAGGACGGUACCGGCAGAAUAAGCCUCGGCUAACUACGUGCCAGCAGCCGCGGUAAAACGUAGGAGGCGAGCGUUAUCCGGAUUUACUGGGUGUAAAGCGCGUGCAGGCGGUUUGUUAAGUUGGGUGUGAAAGCUCCUGGCUCAACUGGGAGAGGUCGCCCA
RNAcentral lists this ribosomal RNA (275 nucleotides) under uncultured bacterium. RNAcentral describes it as "partial 16S ribosomal RNA". It matches the Rfam family "Bacterial small subunit ribosomal RNA", at positions 338 to 629 of the family's 1533-position model. The record is from RNAcentral.